AACUUUGUAUUUGAAAAACAAAAUUAAACUGCAGAUUUAAAAGUACAUUUAUAUGUCAAAGUUU
Molecule: transfer RNA, 64 nt
Filed under: Chaetopleura apiculata
Lineage: Eukaryota; Metazoa; Mollusca; Polyplacophora; Chitonida; Chaetopleuridae
Description: tRNA-Cys
Source: RNAcentral